This 548-nucleotide ribosomal RNA is filed under the name Pseudocellus sp. MCZ IZ 31475. RNAcentral's name for it is "partial large subunit ribosomal RNA". It matches the Rfam family "Eukaryotic large subunit ribosomal RNA", at positions 666 to 1140 of the family's 3401-position model. The record is from RNAcentral. Lineage: Eukaryota; Metazoa; Arthropoda; Arachnida; Ricinulei; Ricinoididae.
CCAAGGAGUCUAACAUGUGCGCGAGUCACCGGGUCUUGUUUAGGCUCGGAGGCGAAAUGAAAGUGAAGGCCGAUCUGGGCGUCGGCUGCGGUGUGAUCCGUGCGGUACCGUUCCCGUCGCGUCCUUGUGGCCGGCGGGUGCGGCGGCUGGCGGCGCAACACCGGCCCGUCCCGUCCGCCACGUCGGUGGGGCGGAGCGAGAGCGUACACGUUGGGACCCGAAAGAUGGUGAACUAUGCCUGGGCAGGACGAAGCCAGAGGAAACUCUGGUGGAGGUCCGCAGCGAUUCUGACGUGCAAAUCGAUCGUCAGACCUGGGUAUAGGGGCGAAAGACUAAUCGAACCAUCUAGUAGCUGGUUCCCUCCGAAGUUUCCCUCAGGAUAGCUGGCGCUCGAGGGAAGCAGUCUCAUCCGGUAAAGCGAAUGAUUAGAGGCCUUGGGGCCGAAACGACCUCAACCUAUUCUCAAACUUUCAAUGGGUGAGAAGUCCGGCUUGCUCGACUGAAGCCCGGACGUCCCAGGAUGCGAGUGCCCAGUGGGCCACUUUUGG